AUGGAAAUUGUACAUACAUAUGGGAAGCCUGACAUCUUCUUGACCAUGACUUGCAACCCUAAAUGGGAAGAGAUAACAAAUGAUUUGCUUCCCAGACAGACGGUGCAAGACCGACCUGAUAUUGUGGCUCACGUGUUCUAUGGCAAACUAGAGGCUAUGAAAGAUAUGUUGCUCAAGAAGAUGGUCCUGGGUGUUGUUGUUGCUUAUGUUUACGUAGUCGAGUUCCAGAAAAGAGGCCUCCCCCACGCACAUUUUUUGUUGAUCAUGGAUUCAAAUUAUAAACUUCUUGUCCCAGAGCAAUAUGACCAACUCAUUUCCGUAGAGCUCCCAGACAAGCAGAAGUAUCCGGAAUUGUAUGCAAUGGUGGUAAAACGUAUGAUGCACGGACCAUGCGGUGCUCUCAACCUGAAUAAUGUGUGCAUGCAAGAUAAUGAAUGCAAGUGCAGAUAUCCGCGGCUGUUCAAUGAGAACACAGCACAUGGCAAUGACUCAUAUCCAUAUUAUCGACGGAGAGACGAUGGAAGACGUGCUAAGGUCUGA
Molecule: ribosomal RNA, 540 nt
Filed under: Triticum aestivum (bread wheat)
Lineage: Eukaryota; Viridiplantae; Streptophyta; Magnoliopsida; Poales; Poaceae
Description: partial small subunit ribosomal RNA
Source: RNAcentral